CCGCGUGACAUGAGAUGCGCAUGGUUGCUUACAAGGCUCGUCCUUCUUUUUUUUUUUUGCCCGCCGAUCAAUCUCUCAAUUUUUUUUUUUAAUCAAAUUACUGAGGACAGCCUGUAAAAAUAGAAAUAAAAUAUAUUAUAAAAUUUGAAGAUAAGCACCACUCUAUUUUCAAAUUUAAUAUUAAAAAUAUACUACUGUAAAAGAUGCAAGUCAACCUGCCAC
This 222-nucleotide long non-coding RNA is filed under the name Elaeis guineensis (African oil palm). RNAcentral's name for it is "long non-coding RNA (EGUI_LNC029012)". The record is from RNAcentral. Lineage: Eukaryota; Viridiplantae; Streptophyta; Magnoliopsida; Arecales; Arecaceae.